UGGUGUCGCUCCAGGGGCCAUAUGAGGUGUCAGGGAUCAAAUUUGGAUGAGUCGCCUAUAAGGCAAGCACCCUACCUGCUGUACUGAAACUCUGGCCCUGAAUGAAGAACUUGCUAUGCUGCUUAUUACUUCAUGAUUUUAAACUAGAGGACCGCUUCAGCAGUGCCUGGGACCACUGUUGCCAGAGAUGCUUGGGAGGCCAUAAGAACUGUACACAUGGCCUUGGCAUGUGCAUGUGAGGACUCACAGUUUUAGAGCCACCUCCUGAUGGCGACAGAUAAUCUCUUCAUCAGCCACCGUCCAGGACUCACGGCUGCUUCUCCCAGAAGGGAGCAUAAAAUGAAUUUCCCAUAACCAUGCCAUCGGACUCCGUGGUAGGUUGUUUUCAUUUGAGGCGCCCCAGAGGGUGGUAGGUGAGAGCCCUCUCUGCCCCAAGGGACCCAGCCCCAGUAGCUGACCUCCACAGCCCAACCAUCGCCAUUGCCAUGCAGCUUGGCACACCAGAUAUGGAAGUCUACACAUGAUCCCUACUGGAACUCUACGCGUGAUUCCUGAUGGACAUGGCUGGUUGUUUUGCAAGGUUCGGACAGAAUGGCGUUGGCGGGGCUCCGAGAAACCAUGGCAGCGGCCAGAGCACAGCACCGUUGGACAUAGAGCCAUGGCAGCAGUGCACGCAGUGGCUCAUCCAUUGUGGGGUGCUGUCAGCCAAUCACCGGUUGACCUGAGACUUGCUGCAGGUGUUCGACCUGGCACAGACCCUCCGAGAUAAAGUCCUGCUCUUCCAGCUGCUCAACAACCUUUGGGCACACUUCAUCAACCUCAGGAGAUCAACCUGAGGCCACAGAUGUCCCAGGUGCUGCCCAGAGACUCAGGCAGGUGUGUGUUUGUCAGUGUGCAGAUCGUUACAACAUGCCAGUCGACCAAAAGCUUACAUUUGGUAGACUGGAACCUGUAAAGGUGAUUAGAGCCCACCCCAAAAGCCUCUGUACCUCUUGGAGAGCCCAGCAAGCUACCAAGAGUAUCCUGCCCACGUGGCAGAUCCUGG
This is a long non-coding RNA of Sorex araneus (European shrew), 1045 nucleotides long. RefSeq lists it as uncharacterized. NCBI's taxonomy places the organism in Eukaryota, Metazoa, Chordata, Mammalia, Eulipotyphla, Soricidae. The record is from RefSeq and is a predicted model, not a curated record. The transcript has 4 exons.